GAUGAAGAACGCAGCGAAAUGCGCUACGUAAUGUGAAUUGCAAAUUCAGUGAAUCAUCGAGUCUUUGAACGCACAUUGCGCCCCCUGGUAUUCCGGGGGGCAUGCCUGUCCGAGCGUCAUUGCUGCCCUCAAGCACGGCUUGUGUGUUGGGCCCCGUCCUCCGAUCCCGGGGGACGGGCCCGAAAGGCAGCGGCGGCACCGCGUCCGGUCCUCGAGCGUAUGGGGCUUUGUCACCCGCUCUGUAGGCCCGGCCGGCGCUUGCCGAUCAACCCAAAUUUUUAUCCAGGUUGACCUCGGAUCAGGUAGGGAUACCCGCUGAACUUAAGCAUAUCAAUAAGCGGAGGA
Molecule: unclassified non-coding RNA, 345 nt
Filed under: soil metagenome
Description: partial contains 5.8S ribosomal RNA, internal transcribed spacer 2, and large subunit ribosomal RNA
Rfam family: 5.8S ribosomal RNA (bases 1-119)
Source: RNAcentral